AUGAGUGAUUUUGGCAUGGCAGAAACAAAUGAUGGUAGAACUCCUAAAAUUGGACGUUCUGCUAAUCUAGAUGCUAAAACUUAUGUAUUGGUACAGGGGAAUGUUAUAGGAAAGGAAACCAUCCAAGAAUUCUUUAAUUGCGUUGGGACUUUGACUUGUGAUGAUGUUCCUAUACUUAAAAGAACUAAAACUUAUGCAGAUGCCAUUUCAGCUCUUGUUCUUAAACUUGAGAAAAGAUUUAUUCGCACUCAUCCCACUUUGCAAAGAUUGUUUUAUGAACUACAUGUGAUAAAGGAUCCUAAACCUAAUAAAAUAGCUACUUGUUUUAAGACAUUUUCUAGGCAAUAA
RNAcentral lists this ribosomal RNA (348 nucleotides) under Triticum aestivum (bread wheat). RNAcentral describes it as "partial small subunit ribosomal RNA". Lineage: Eukaryota; Viridiplantae; Streptophyta; Magnoliopsida; Poales; Poaceae. The record is from RNAcentral.